GUUUCCAAUUUUGAGGAAAAUGUGAAGACAAAACAUCCUGAGUUGCUGUAUGAAUCCAAGUUGUAUAGGAUCCUAGCUACAAGGAGGAACUGGGAUACCAAAUGUGCGGUGGUUUGGAGUUGAAGGAGAUUAUAACGUUUUGGUAAUGGAUUUGCUGGGUCCUAGUCUUGAAGACUUAUUUAACUUCUGUAGUAGGAAACUUUCUUUGGAGACAGUUAUGCUGGCAGAAGACAGUUAUGCUGGCAGAUCAAAUGGUAUACAUGAUUGAUUUUGGUCUGGCUAAGAAAUACCCGUCAACAUAUUCCUUAUAGAGAAAACAAGAAUUUGAUUGGAACAGCAAGAUAUGCAAGCAUGAACACCCACCUUGGGAUUGAGCAAAGCCGGGGGGAUGAUUUGGAAUCUCUUGGUUACGUCCUGAUGUACUUCCUUAAGGGAAGGGGCGGGACAUGUAUGUUAUGGUGAGCUACUUGAUGGGAAUUCUGGAAGUUUACUUAGUACUGAGUAUGUGGUUGUCAAGUGAAUUUAACACUUUUCAGAACCUGAAGAAUUUUUUACUUAAUGUCCCUGCAUUUGAUAAUGUUGAUAGUUUGACCAUUUCUUCAACUUCUA
This is a long non-coding RNA of Rosa chinensis, 609 nucleotides long. RefSeq lists it as uncharacterized. The record is from RefSeq and is a predicted model, not a curated record. The transcript is spliced from 6 exons. Lineage: Eukaryota; Viridiplantae; Streptophyta; Magnoliopsida; Rosales; Rosaceae.